AGCAUAUAAUCUUCAUGAAAGAAGAAAUUUUGUUUGUCUUGUGCAUUGAUGUAAAUGCACCUAAACUGGACUGACACAUAGUAUGUGCUCAGUAAAUACCUUUUCACUGAAAAAAUAGCUCCGAGUUGACUAGUAAGGGACCUUGGUUCUCUAGAUUUAUAUCUUUCUAUCAUACAGCUCUGGGUUUGCAAAAUUAUCAUAGAAAUGUUUCUUGGAGACACGGUUAUCAGCAAAUAAUGUCUCCUAGACAACCUACCUAAAGAAGUCUAGAUAAUUUUAGGAGACAGUUGAAUUAGAUCACCACCAGUUGAUCGAUUACCUGAUUUGUUUUUUCAGCUGUGGUGAUAAUGUCUGCCAGGCGACCCAGACAUGGGUCCUGUUGGCUUACAGCACAACUGGGCUUAGAUGUGCCACCCUCGUAUGCCUUACAUCCUCGCGUGGAAUGGGACUCACUCGGACAUGCUCACUUUGUUCUUAGGGUGAAGAAAACAAGACAGGGAAAGAGUGGCAAGUAGUGGUGAAUUUUGUCCUGGAAACCAGAUCUCUCGACUCUCAUCUCCUGACUCUUUCUCUUACAUCAUUUUGCCUCAAGAGAGGAUUCAGUAGCCUUUUAAUAGUUCUACAUCAAUUGUUUUGACUGUUUUGGGUCCUUUGAGUUUCCAUAUGAAUUUUAGGAUCAGCCUGUUUAUUUCUACAAAGAAGCCAGCUGAGAUUCUCACAGGGAUUGCAUUGAAUCUAAGGUUAAUUUGAGGAAUUCAUGUUCUACAAUAAGCCUGCUCAGCAGUUGUAGACACAUCCAUGAAGUGAAACAGAGAAAAGAGUCCUUGAGUCUUGGAAUAUUUUCUUCUGCUAGACUGAAUCUGGAUUAAGUCUUAGAAGGAUACAGAGAGAAGGAGUCUGUGGCUAAAGAUUUCUUCAUUGUCCUGUGAAACGGUCAUUUGUCCUGGAUUGCGUUUUUCUCUGAAAUAGAAUGUCUGUGUUAAAUAUUAAUAAGAAGUGUAUGGGUGCCCUCAGGUUCUUGAGAAAGAGAAUCAAAAGAGUUAGUUUUGUUUUCUUGAUUAUUUGGACCAGUUUGUUCAUUCAUUCAUGUAACAAAAAUGCAUUGAGUCACUACCAUGUACCAAGCAUCAUACUAGGCACUGAGAUAUAAUGAUUAACAAAAAUAGAAAGGAUGCCUACUUUCAUGGAGUUUACCCUUGGGGUUUGGGGAGAUGAGACAUUAACUAAAUAAUCUCACAAAUAAAUGCAUCAUGACAAAAUCAAAAAAAGACAUGAAGUAAAGGUAUAUGAUGAUAUGAGACUUUCUAAAACAAAGAGCUGAUCUGGUCUGGGGCGUCAAAGAAAGCUUUCUUGAAGAAGAGAGAUUCAGGCUGAGUUCUGAAGGAUAAAUCAGAAUUAAGAACAUAGGGGUAGAGGAGAGGUUCCAGGCAAAGAAACAGCAUUUUAAAGGCCCUGAAGUGGCAGGGAGCCUGGCACUUAUAAAGAACUGAAAGAAAGCCAGUGGGACCAAAACACAGAGAGGAAGUGGCUUAUGAGAUGAGACAGAAGAGCUAAUGGCUGUCAGAUUAUGUGGGGCCCUAGAUGACAUAAGAAAUUUUUAUCUUUAUCUUCAGAACAAAGAGCAGUCAUAGGAAGUGACAUGAGCAGAUCUGUGACAUUGAAAGAUCACUUUGGGGUUAGGUCCAAGAUUGGAUAAGUAGAGACCAGUUAGGAGCCUAUUGCAGAGUCCAAGCGGACCAUGGUAGCUUAGCCUAGGGCAGUGCUGGAAGAGAGGAUGAGAACCAGACAUAUUCAGGAGAUGAUGGUGAUAAAAUCAAUAAGCCAAG
Diceros bicornis minor is the source of this 1826-nucleotide long non-coding RNA. RefSeq lists it as uncharacterized. NCBI's taxonomy places the organism in Eukaryota, Metazoa, Chordata, Mammalia, Perissodactyla, Rhinocerotidae. The record is from RefSeq and is a predicted model, not a curated record. The transcript has 4 exons.